UGCUGCGGUACGAUGGCACG
This 20-nucleotide unclassified non-coding RNA is filed under the name Chlamydomonas reinhardtii. RNAcentral describes it as "small RNA Cre_3182". The record is from RNAcentral. Lineage: Eukaryota; Viridiplantae; Chlorophyta; Chlorophyceae; Chlamydomonadales; Chlamydomonadaceae.